Molecule: long non-coding RNA, 976 nt
Organism: Medicago truncatula (barrel medic)
Lineage: Eukaryota; Viridiplantae; Streptophyta; Magnoliopsida; Fabales; Fabaceae
Exons: 2
Source: RefSeq, a predicted model, not a curated record
UCUAAUUGUUCACCGAUGCUAAAAAUCAGUGUGAUAUUUUUACUAUUCCAAUGCACAUACAUUCUCAUGACUUCUAUCUCUCUCUCUCUCUUUCUCUCUCUCUCUCAAUCAACCAAAACCUUCAUCACUAAUUCUUUCUCUGCAUUCCUUCUCUUAAUUCCGAUCUCACGUCCCUCUCCUUCGUGUACUCAUUCAUGAUGGUGAGGCUUUGAUUUACGAAAUUUCUUCUUCCAAUUAAUUAUUCAAAGCAGAUCUCAAAUCCUUCUUGAGAAGGAAAAACAAUACACCUGCAACUGUAGUCAAUUGAAAACAGCGGUGCUAAAAGUCUGGUGAUGGUGUCGAUGUUGCGGUGGUUGGAGCUGUUGUGCACCUAUGAUAUUAUCUCCCAUGAAAGUUUCUAAUAAGUCGCAGUCAUAUGGUUUCAUCUAUUUAUUAAUAUCGUGUAUAUUUUCUAUUGAAGCUUAUUUAGAGUUUGCUUGGUGAGUUUAUUGAAACCACAAUGAGUCGCCGUGAUUUAAAAAAAGGUGUAGCUUUUACGGUGACUUUGUCAAAGCUUAUUUUCUAUUGUUGUUGUUCUUUUCAUGUUCUUUUCUACAUAAUACACUUCUGUUAUGUUUGCAAUUUAUACUUCAGUAUAGAUAGUCAAAGAAAAUGGUUGUAAAUUUCACAACAUUGUUAAUUUGUCCCUAAUGUGACUUAUAUUGACGUGGUGAGCUAAGGUUCUCUUAUUCAUAUUUUUCUCUUCAGAUUUAUCUUUAUUGAAAUUGUUCACACCAACUAUAGAAACCCAUUCAUGAAUUGCUACUAUGAAAAUAAGCCAAUUUUAAUUUUUAAGCAUUUUAUGUGUUUUUGUAUGUGACCAAAUAUAGAUGUAAAACCAUCUCUUGGUUUUCCUUUUUAAGCAUUUUAUUGCUACUGUGGAAUUAUUUUAAUCACACCAAGUGUAGUUGUAAAAUCAUCUAUUGAGUUAUUGAUA